RNAcentral lists this ribosomal RNA (461 nucleotides) under uncultured organism. RNAcentral's name for it is "partial 16S ribosomal RNA". It matches the Rfam family "Bacterial small subunit ribosomal RNA", at positions 332 to 801 of the family's 1533-position model. The record is from RNAcentral.
UACACUCCUGCGGGAGGCAGCAGUGGGGAAUAUUGCACAAUGGGCGCAAGCCUGAUGCAGCGACGCCGCGUGGGGGAUGAAGGCCUUCGGGUUGUAAACUCCUUUCGCUAGGGACGAAGCUUUUUUGUGACGGUACCUAGAUAAGAAGCACCGGCUAACUACGUGCCAGCAGCCGCGGUAAUACGUAGGGUGCGAGCGUUGUCCGGAAUUACUGGGCGUAAAGGGCUCGUAGGUGGUUUGUCGCGUCGUCUGUGAAAUUCUGGGGCUUAACUCCGGGCGUGCAGGCGAUACGGGCAUAACUUGAGUGCUGUAGGGGUAACUGGAAUUCCUGGUGUAGCGGUGAAAUGCGCAGAUAUCAGGAGGAACACCGAUGGCGAAGGCAGGUUACUGGGCAGUUACUGACGCUGAGGAGCGAAAGCAUGGGUAGCGAACAGGAUUAGAUACCCCUGUAGUCCCAUGAU